UACAGAGGUCCCAAGCGUUGUUCGGAUUCACUGGGCGUAAAGGGUGCGUAGGCGGUCGGGUAAGUCUGAUGUGAAAUCUCACAGCUUAACUGUGAAACUGCAUUGGAUACUAUCCGGCUCGAGGAAUGGAGGGGAGACUGGAAUACUUGGUGUAGCAGUGAAAUGCGUAGAUAUCAAGUGGAACACCAGUGGCGAAGGCGAGUCUUUAGACAUUUCCUGACGCUGAGGCACGAAAGCCAGGGGAGCAAACGGG
This 253-nucleotide ribosomal RNA is filed under the name uncultured bacterium. Its description in RNAcentral is "partial 16S ribosomal RNA". It matches the Rfam family "Bacterial small subunit ribosomal RNA", at positions 524 to 776 of the family's 1533-position model. The record is from RNAcentral.